UGUUUCGGCAAGGGGGUCAUCCCGACUUACCAACCCGAUGCAAACUGCGAAUACCGGAGAAUGUUAUCACGGGAGACACACGGCGGGUGCUAACGUCCGUCGUGAAGAGGGAAACAACCCAGACCGCCAGCUAAGGUCCCAAAGUCAUGGUUAAGUGGGAAACGAUGUGGGAAGGCCCAGACAGCCAGGAUGUUGGCUUAGAAGCAGCCAUCAUUUAAAGAAAGCGUAAUAGCUCACUGGUCGAGUCGGCCUGCGCGGAAGAUGUAACGGGGCUAAACCAUGCACCGAAGCUGCGGCAGCGACACUAUGUGUUGUUGGGUAGGGGAGCGUUCUGUAAGCCUGUGAAGGUGUACUGUGAGGUAUGCUGGAGGUAUCAGAAGUGCGAAUGCUGACAUAAGUAACGAUAAAGCGGGUGAAAAGCCCGCUCGCCGGAAGACCAAGGGUUCCUGUCCAACGUUAAUCGGGGCAGGGUGAGUCGACCCCUAAGGCGAGGCCGAAAGGCGUAGUCGAUGGGAAACAGGUUAAUAUUCCUGUACUUGGUGUUACUGCGAAGGGGGGACGGAGAAGGCUAUGUUGGCCGGGCGACGGUUGUCCCGGUUUAAGCGUGUAGGCUGGUUUUCCAGGCAAAUCCGGAAAAUCAAGGCUGAGGCGUGAUGACGAGGCACUACGGUGCUGAAGCAACAAAUGCCCUGCUUCCAGGAAAAGCCUCUAAGCAUCAGGUAACAUCAAAUCGUACCCCAAACCGACACAGGUGGUCAGGUAGAGAAUACCAAGGCGCUUGAGAGAACUCGGGUGAAGGAACUAGGCAAAAUGGUGCCGUAACUUCGGGAGAAGGCACGCUGAUAUGUAGGUGAAGUCCCUCGCGGAUGGAGCUGAAAUCAGUCGAAGAUACCAGCUGGCUGCAACUGUUUAUUAAAAACACAGCACUGUGCAAACACGAAAGUGGACGUAUACGGUGUGACGCCUGCCCGGUGCCGGAAGGUUAAUUGAUGGGGUCAGCGCAAGCGAAGCUCUUGAUCGAAGCCCCGGUAAACGGCGGCCGUAACUAUAACGGUCCUAAGGUAGCGAAAUUCCUUGUCGGGUAAGUUCCGACCUGCACGAAUGGCGUAAUGAUGGCCAGGCUGUCUCCACCCGAGACUCAGUGAAAUUGAACUCGCUGUGAAGAUGCAGUGUACCCGCGGCAAGACGGAAAGACCCCGUGAACCUUUACUAUAGCUUGACACUGAACAUUGAGCCUUGAUGUGUAGGAUAGGUGGGAGGCUUGGAAGUGUGGACGCCAGUCUGCAUGGAGCCGACCUUGAAAUACCACCCUUUAAUGUUUGAUGUUCUAACGUUGACCCGUAAUCCGGGUUGCGGACAGUGUCUGGUGGGUAGUUUGACUGGGGCGGUCUCCUCCUAAAGAGUAACGGAGGAGCACGAAGGUUGGCUAAUCCUGGUCGGACAUCAGGAGGUUAGUGCAAUGGCAUAAGCCAGCUUGACUGCGAGCGUGACGGCGCGAGCAGGUGCGAAAGCAGGUCAUAGUGAUCCGGUGGUUCUGAAUGGAAGGGCCAUCGCUCAACGGAUAAAAGGUACUCCGGGGAUAACAGGCUGAUACCGCCCAAGAGUUCAUAUCGACGGCGGUGUUUGGCACCUCGAUGUCGGCUCAUCACAUCCUGGGGCUGAAGUAGGUCCCAAGGGUAUGGCUGUUCGCCAUUUAAAGUGGUACGCGAGCUGGGUUUAGAACGUCGUGAGACAGUUCGGUCCCUAUCUGCCGUGGGCGCUGGAGAACUGAGGGGGGCUGCUCCUAGUACGAGAGGACCGGAGUGGACGCAUCACUGGUGUUCGGGUUGUCAUGCCAAUGGCACUGCCCGGUAGCUAAAUGCGGAAGAGAUAAGUGCUGAAAGCAUCUAAGCACGAAACUUGCCCCGAGAUGAGUUCUCCCUGACUCCUUGAGAGUCCUGAAGGAACGUUGAAGACGACGACGUUGAUAGGCCGGGUGUGUAAGCGCAGCGAUGCGU
RNAcentral lists this ribosomal RNA (1997 nucleotides) under Escherichia coli. RNAcentral describes it as "partial 23S ribosomal RNA". It matches the Rfam family "Bacterial large subunit ribosomal RNA", at positions 911 to 2886 of the family's 2925-position model. Lineage: Bacteria; Pseudomonadati; Pseudomonadota; Gammaproteobacteria; Enterobacterales; Enterobacteriaceae. The record is from RNAcentral. RNAcentral also lists the same sequence under 1 other name.